Molecule: ribosomal RNA, 639 nt
Filed under: Serratia marcescens
Lineage: Bacteria; Pseudomonadati; Pseudomonadota; Gammaproteobacteria; Enterobacterales; Yersiniaceae
Description: bacterial SSU rRNA
Rfam family: Bacterial small subunit ribosomal RNA
Source: RNAcentral
CAAGUCGAGCGGUAGCACAGGGGAGCUUGCUCCCUGGGUGACGAGCGGCGGACGGGUGAGUAAUGUCUGGGAAACUGCCUGAUGGAGGGGGAUAACUACUGGAAACGGUAGCUAAUACCGCAUAACGUCUCAAGACCAAAGAGGGGGACCUUCGGGCCUCUUGCCAUCAGAUGUGCCCAGAUGGGAUUAGCUAGUAGGUGGGGUAAUGGCUCACCUAGGCGACGAUCCCUAGCUGGUCUGAGAGGAUGACCAGCCACACUGGAACUGAGACACGGUCCAGACUCCUACGGGAGGCAGCAGUGGGGAAUAUUGCACAAUGGGCGCAAGCCUGAUGCAGCCAUGCCGCGUGUGUGAAGAAGGCCUUCGGGUUGUAAAGCACUUUCAGCGAGGAGGAAGGUGGUGAGCUUAAUACGUUCAUCAAUUGACGUUACUCGCAGAAUAAGCACCGGCUAACUCCGUGCCAGCAGCCGCGGUAAUACGGAGGGUGCAAGCGUUAAUCGGAAUUACUGGGCGUAAAGCGCACGCAGGCGGUUUGUUAAGUCAGAUGUGAAAUCCCCGGGCUCAACCUGGGAACUGCAUUUGAAAACUGGCAAGCUAGAGUCUCGUAGAGGGGGGUAGAAUUCCAGGUGUAGCGGUGAA